RNAcentral lists this long non-coding RNA (571 nucleotides) under Nicotiana benthamiana. RNAcentral describes it as "long non-coding RNA (NBEN_LNC040195)". The record is from RNAcentral. Lineage: Eukaryota; Viridiplantae; Streptophyta; Magnoliopsida; Solanales; Solanaceae.
CAGUUUAUACAUUCCAAGGUCAUUCUAAUACAUGAUGUGAGAUAUCAAGUAAGCUACUGUUUAUACAUUUAAAUUAAACACAAAACAAACACGGGAGAAUUUCAAGGAUCCCCUCCAAACAACUAAUUUACUUCGUUUUCAUUAGAUUUAAGAGCUUCAGAACAUGUACCUAGAUAACAGAAAUACCAGAAGAAAAGGAGGAAGUCAGCAGCAGCAAAUAACACAGCAACAACGCAGCAGCGAUGGAACAUUUUAGCAAAACCCAACAGCACAACAAUGGAACAGUUCCAAAAAACCAGUACAACACCGAAAAUAGACCAAAAUGAGACCCAGUAACAAUAGAAUAAUAUCCCCCAAUAGCUGACCCCAAAACAGCUUAAUUUCAACCAAAUACCAAUCGAAAUGCAGUACCAGCAUCCAAAAGAUGAACUCGAAAAUAUAACUUGAUAGUUAAAGCUGAAGUUCUCUUUAGUUUUCAAUGAAAACAGUAUUAGUUGAACUAACUAACUCCUUAAACUCUCUAUCUCUGGGAAUCUUUUCAUUUCUAUGUAUUUUUGACUCUAAACUCUUA